This 253-nucleotide ribosomal RNA is filed under the name Anaerostipes hadrus ATCC 29173 = JCM 17467. RNAcentral describes it as "Anaerostipes hadrus DSM 3319 partial 16S ribosomal RNA". It matches the Rfam family "Bacterial small subunit ribosomal RNA", at positions 524 to 776 of the family's 1533-position model. The record is from RNAcentral. Lineage: Bacteria; Bacillati; Bacillota; Clostridia; Lachnospirales; Lachnospiraceae.
UACGUAGGGGGCAAGCGUUAUCCGGAAUUACUGGGUGUAAAGGGUGCGUAGGUGGUAUGGCAAGUCAGAAGUGAAAACCCAGGGCUUAACUCUGGGACUGCUUUUGAAACUGUCAGACUGGAGUGCAGGAGAGGUAAGUGGAAUUCCUAGUGUAGCGGUGAAAUGCGUAGAUAUUAGGAGGAACAUCAGUGGCGAAGGCGGCUUACUGGACUGAAACUGACACUGAGGCACGAAAGCGUGGGGAGCAAACAGG